AGGCGGUUAGCUCAGUUGGUUAGAGCGCUUCGUUGACAUCGAAGAGGUCGCUGGUUCGAAUCCAGUACUGCCUACCA
RNAcentral lists this transfer RNA (77 nucleotides) under Pigmentiphaga litoralis. RNAcentral describes it as "tRNA-Val". It matches the Rfam family "tRNA". From Rfam's summary of the family: Transfer RNA (tRNA) molecules are approximately 80 nucleotides in length. Their secondary structure includes four short double-helical elements and three loops (D, anti-codon, and T loops). The record is from RNAcentral. Lineage: Bacteria; Pseudomonadati; Pseudomonadota; Betaproteobacteria; Burkholderiales; Alcaligenaceae. RNAcentral also lists the same sequence under 1 other name.